AGUCGAGCGGAUGAAGGAGCUUGCUCCUGGAUUCAGCGGCGGACGGGUGAGUAAUGCCUAGGAAUCUGCCUGGUAGUGGGGGACAACGUUUCGAAAGGAACGCUAAUACCGCAUACGUCCUACGGGAGAAAGCAGGGGACCUUCGGGCCUUGCGCUAUCAGAUGAGCCUAGGUCGGAUUAGCUAGUUGGUGAGGUAAUGGCUCACCAAGGCGACGAUCCGUAACUGGUCUGAGAGGAUGAUCAGUCACACUGGAACUGAGACACGGUCCAGACUCCUACGGGAGGCAGCAGUGGGGAAUAUUGGACAAUGGGCGAAAGCCUGAUCCAGCCAUGCCGCGUGUGUGAAGAAGGUCUUCGGAUUGUAAAGCACUUUAAGUUGGGAGGAAGGGUUGUAGAUUAAUACUCUGCAAUUUUGACGUUACCGACAGAAUAAGCACCGGCUAACUCUGUGCCAGCAGCCGCGGUAAUACAGAGGGUGCAAGCGUUAAUCGGAAUUACUGGGCGUAAAGCGCGCGUAGGUGGUUUGGUUAAGUUGGAUGUGAAAUCCCCGGGCUCAACCUGGGAACUGCAUCCAAAACUGGCAAGCUAGAGUAUGGUAG
RNAcentral lists this ribosomal RNA (599 nucleotides) under bacterium 32-L049659-122-016-H04. RNAcentral describes it as "bacterial SSU rRNA". It matches the Rfam family "Bacterial small subunit ribosomal RNA", at positions 60 to 654 of the family's 1533-position model. The record is from RNAcentral.